GGCGUGCCUAACACAUGCAAGUCGAACGGUAACAGGUCUUCGGAUGCUGACGAGUGGCGCACGGGUGAGUAACGCGUGGAUAUCUGCCUAUUAGUGGGGGACAACUUUCGGAAACGGAAGCUAAUACCGCAUAAUCUCUACGGAGGAAAGCAGGGGACCUUUCGGGGCCUUGUGCUGAUAGAUGAGUCCGCGUCUGAUUAGCUAGUUGGUAGGGUAAAGGCCUACCAAGGCGAUGAUCAGUAUCUGGUUUGAGAGGAUGAUCAGACACACUGGAACUGAGACACGGUCCAGACUUCUACGGAAGGCAGCAGUGGGGAAUAUUGCACAAUGGGGGAAACCCUGAUGCAGCGACGCCGCGUGUGGGAAGAAGGCUUUAGGGUUGUAAACCACUUUCAAUUGGGAAGAAGAGAUGAGUACUAAUAUUAUUCUGAUUUGACGGUACCUUUAGAAGAAGCACCGGCUAAUUUCGUGCCAGCAGCCGCGGUAAUACGAAAGGUGCAAGCGUUGUUCGGAUUUACUGGGCGUAAAGCGAGUGUAGGUUGUUUAUUAAGUCGGAUGUGAAAUCCCAGGGCUCAACCCUGGAACUGCAUUCGAUACUGAUAGGCUAGAGUUCGGGAGGGGUAAGCGGAAUUCCGUGUGUAGCAGUGAAAUGCGUAGAUAUACGGAGGAACACCUGAGGCGAAGGCGGCUUACUGGACCGAUACUGACACUGAGACUCGAAAGCGUGGGUAGCAAACAGGAUUAGAUACCCUGGUAGUCCACGCCCUAAACGAUGUCAACUAGCCGUUGCGGGUAUCGACCCCUGCAGUGGCGAAGCUAACGCGAUAAGUUGACCGCCUGGGGAGUAC
This 848-nucleotide ribosomal RNA is filed under the name uncultured bacterium. RNAcentral's name for it is "bacterial SSU rRNA". It matches the Rfam family "Bacterial small subunit ribosomal RNA", at positions 41 to 883 of the family's 1533-position model. The record is from RNAcentral.